UACAGAGGUCUCAAGCGUUGUUCGGAUUCAUUGGGCGUAAAGGGUGCGUAGGUGGCGCCGUAAGUCGGGUGUGAAAUUUCGGAGCUUAACUCCGAAACUGCAUUCGAUACUGCGGUGCUUGAGGACUGGAGAGGAGACUGGAAUUCAUGGUGUAGCAGUGAAAUGCGUAGAUAUCAGGAGGAACACCCGUGGUGUAGACGGCUUGCUGGACAGUCACUGACGCUGAGGCACGAAAGCGUGGGGAGCAAACAGG
This 253-nucleotide ribosomal RNA is filed under the name uncultured bacterium. Its description in RNAcentral is "partial 16S ribosomal RNA". It matches the Rfam family "Bacterial small subunit ribosomal RNA", at positions 524 to 776 of the family's 1533-position model. The record is from RNAcentral.